Molecule: ribosomal RNA, 493 nt
Filed under: uncultured bacterium
Lineage: Bacteria
Description: partial 16S ribosomal RNA
Rfam family: Bacterial small subunit ribosomal RNA
Source: RNAcentral
GACGAACGCUGGCGGUGUGCUUAACACAUGCAAGUGGUGCGACGAACCAGAGCUUGCUCUGGGGCAAAGCCGCGAACGGGUGAGUAACACGUGGGUAAUCUACCCCGAUGACCGGGACAACCCGAGGAAACUCGGGCUAAUACCGGAUGUGGUGCGGAGACAUAAGUCUCUUCACUAAAGGUAGCUUCGGCUUCCGCAUUGGGAGGGGCCCGCGGCCCAUUAGCUUGUUGGUGGGGUCAAGGCCUACCAAGGCAACGAUGGGUAGCUGGUCUGAGAGGACGAUCAGCCACACUGGGACUGAGACACGGCCCAGACUCCUACGGGAGGCAGCAGUGGGGAAUCUUGCGCAAUGCGCGAAAGCGUGACGCAGCAACACCGCGUGAGGGAAGAAGGCCUUAGGGUUGUAAAACUCUUUCAGAUGGGACGAAGGUUCUCCGGUGAAUAGCCGAGAGGAUUGACGGUACCGUCAGAAGAAGCUCCGGCUAACUACGUG